UAGGAGAGUCUCUUCUUCCCUGGGUUGAGC
RNAcentral lists this non-coding RNA (30 nucleotides) under Rattus norvegicus (Norway rat). Lineage: Eukaryota; Metazoa; Chordata; Mammalia; Rodentia; Muridae. The record is from RNAcentral.